This is an unclassified non-coding RNA of 334 nucleotides. Its record names the gene Telomerase-vert. It matches the Rfam family "Vertebrate telomerase RNA". From Rfam's summary of the family: Telomerase is a ribonucleoprotein reverse transcriptase that synthesises telomeric DNA. Telomerase RNAs differ greatly in sequence and structure between vertebrates, ciliates and yeasts, but they share a 5' pseudoknot structure close to the template sequence. The record is from Ensembl.
ACCCCGGCGGAGUGUCUCUUCUAACCCUAAGUUAAACUAGCUCCCUGUACUCGGCGUUUGCUGUUUUUUGUCUGGCUUUCAGGAAACUACAGGGAGUCUUGAGAGUCUCGGUUCACGGACCAAAAAAGCCACGAUAAUCGCUCCGUCGUGUUCGGUCCCCCCUCAAAGCACCGCGAGCCCGGUUGCGGUCAGUCUGGCUGCCGCGAAGAGUUGGUCUCUGCCGCUCCGGUGUCUUCGUGUCGGGAUCACCGAGGACCGAACAGAGCAAAACUGAGCCUGGUGACUCUACCGGUUCUCCCAGUGUUCUGGUAGGAAUGUCCAAGCUCAAACACCC